GCGUCGGUAGCUCAGUCGGUAGAGCAACGCCCUUUUAAGGCGUGGGUCCUGGGUUCGAGUCCCAGCCGACGCACCA
RNAcentral lists this transfer RNA (76 nucleotides) under Chthonomonadaceae bacterium. Its description in RNAcentral is "tRNA-Lys". It matches the Rfam family "tRNA". Rfam says of the family: Transfer RNA (tRNA) molecules are approximately 80 nucleotides in length. Lineage: Bacteria; Bacillati; Armatimonadota; Chthonomonadia; Chthonomonadales; Chthonomonadaceae. The record is from RNAcentral.